Molecule: ribosomal RNA, 464 nt
Filed under: uncultured bacterium
Lineage: Bacteria
Description: partial 16S ribosomal RNA
Rfam family: Bacterial small subunit ribosomal RNA
Source: RNAcentral
GACGAACGCUGGCGGCGUGCUUAACACAUGCAAGUCGAACGAUGACGCCAGCUUGCUUGUGGCUUAGUGGCGAACGGGUGAGUAACACUUAGGUGAUCUUCCCCAAACUUUUGUAUAUGCCUGGUAAACUGGGUCUAAUACCGAUUAUGACCGAUACUCCCUUGGGUGUUGGUGGAAAGCUCCGGCGGUAUUGGAUGGGCCCGCGGCCCAUCUGCUUGUUGGGUGGUUAGUGGCCUACCAAGGCGAAGGAGGGUAGCCGGCCUGAGAGGGGGAACGGCCACAAUGGGACUGAGAGACGGCCCAGACUCCUAUGGGAGGCAGCAGUGGGGAAUAUUGCACAAUGGGAGCAAGCCUGAUGCAGCGACGCCGCGUGAGGGAUGACGGCCUUCGGGUUGUAAACCUCUUUCACCAGGGACGAAGCGAAAGUGACGGUACCUGGAGAAGAAGCACCGGCCAACUACGUG